This 492-nucleotide ribosomal RNA is filed under the name uncultured bacterium. RNAcentral describes it as "partial 16S ribosomal RNA". It matches the Rfam family "Bacterial small subunit ribosomal RNA", at positions 29 to 507 of the family's 1533-position model. The record is from RNAcentral.
AGUGAACGCUGGCGGUAGGCCUAACACAUGCAAGUCGAACGGCAGCACAGUAAGAGCUUGCUCUUACGGGUGGCGAGUGGCGGACGGGUGAGGAAUACAUCGGAAUCUACUUUUUCGUGGGGGGUAACGUAGGGAAACUUACGCUAAUACCGCAUACGACCUACGGGUGAAAGCAGGGGAUCUUCGGACCUUGCGCGAUUGCAUGAGCCGAUGUCGGAUUAGCUAGUUGGCGGGGUAAAGGCCCACCAAGGCGACGAUCCGUAGCUGGUCUGCGAGGAUGAUCAGCCACACUGGAACUGAGACACGGUCCAGACUCCUACGGGAGGCAGCAGUGGGGAAUAUUGGACAAUGGGCGCAAGCCUGAUCCAGCCAUACCGCGUGGGUGAAGAAGGCCUUCGGGUUGUAAAGCCCUUUUGUUGGGAAAGAAAAGCAGCAGGUUAAUACCCCGCUGUUCUGACGGUACCCAAAGAAUAAGCACCGGCUAACUUCGUG